AGGGUAAAAUGGCUGAUAAUAGGCGGUAAACUGUAAAUUUAUUUAUGGGAAUUAAUUCUCUUUUAC
This 66-nucleotide transfer RNA is filed under the name Myrmeleon formicarius. RNAcentral describes it as "tRNA-Tyr". Lineage: Eukaryota; Metazoa; Arthropoda; Insecta; Neuroptera; Myrmeleontidae. The record is from RNAcentral.